AUGACUUGGGUCACAAGGCAUGGAGAAACUCAUUUGGACCUUAUACAUGAAGAAGGGAUCAAAAUGGCAUCUUGGAUGGCCUUGGAAAGGAUCAGGCGAGAUGCUGUCCGUGUAUGGAUAAGGUCUUCACUCCUAUUGGCUUAUUCAGUCCACAAGACAGCUCAUGACAGCCUGUAAAGACCAGACUCGCCAAAGGCUCCCAUUGGCCAAGCAUGUGAUGAUUCUGGUCCAUAGAAUUCAAAUGGGCGCUCCCCUUUAUGCUGACUUCACAUGCUUAGGUUAUCUGAUGAAUUCAGCCUCCAUUUAUGUAUUUAAGCUUCUUGUAAACAAUUGGAAACAUUAAGUGAGUAAGGGGGUUUCCCCUCUCCUUCUCUAAUCUGAAACACUAAUCUUCAGUCUCUUAUUCUCUCAGUCUCUCUAGUCUCUUAAGUCUCUUAAUCUCUCUGUUCUUAAGUCUCUUAUACACUCUCACAAAUCUCUCUUCCUAAAUCACCUAGAACAAGCUCUAAUCAUUCUUCAUUGAAGCUUAUACACACACACAUACUACCAGAGUAGAGAUCUCUUUAAAAAUCACAUGGUAUCAGAGCCAGGUUCAUCAGAACCUGAGCUGUAGCUUCCGCAC
RNAcentral lists this long non-coding RNA (622 nucleotides) under Brassica napus (rape). RNAcentral describes it as "long non-coding RNA (BNAP_LNC025292)". The record is from RNAcentral. Lineage: Eukaryota; Viridiplantae; Streptophyta; Magnoliopsida; Brassicales; Brassicaceae.